RNAcentral lists this ribosomal RNA (459 nucleotides) under uncultured bacterium. RNAcentral describes it as "partial 16S ribosomal RNA". It matches the Rfam family "Bacterial small subunit ribosomal RNA", at positions 338 to 795 of the family's 1533-position model. The record is from RNAcentral.
CCUACGGGAGGCUGCAGUGAGGAAUAUUGGUCAAUGGCCGAGAGGCUGAACCAGCCAAGUCGCGUGAGGGAAGACGGCCCUACGGGUUGUAAACCUCUUUUGUCGGGGAGCAAAGCGAGUCACGUGUGACUCAUUGCGAGUACCCGAAGACAAAGCAUCGUCUAACUCCGUGCCAGCAGCCGCGGUAAUACGGAGGAUGCGAGCGUUAUCCGGAUUUAUUGGGUUAAAAGGGUACGCAGGCGGCGGUGCAAGUCAGCGGUCAAAUGGCGGGGCUCAACCCCGUACUGCCGUUGAAACUGCAUCCCUUGAGUGUGCGAGAAGUAUGCGGAAUGCGUGGUGUAGCGGUGAAAUGCAUAGAUAUCACGCAGAACUCCGAUUGCGAAGGCAGCAUACCGGCGCGCAACUGACGCUCAUGCACGAAAGCGUGGGUAUCGAACAGGAUUAGAUACCCGUGUAGUC